Molecule: ribosomal RNA, 735 nt
Filed under: uncultured Ramlibacter sp.
Lineage: Bacteria; Pseudomonadati; Pseudomonadota; Betaproteobacteria; Burkholderiales; Comamonadaceae
Description: bacterial SSU rRNA
Rfam family: Bacterial small subunit ribosomal RNA
Source: RNAcentral
UGUUUCCAUGCAAGUCGAACGGCAGCACGGGGGCACCCUGGUGGCGAGUGGCGAACGGGUGAGUAAUACAUCGGAACGUGCCCAGUCGUGGGGGAUAACUACGCGAAAGCGUAGCUAAUACCGCAUACGAACUCUGGUUGAAAGCGGGGGACCGUAAGGCCUCGCGCGAUUGGAGCGGCCGAUGGCAGAUUAGGUAGUUGGUGGGGUAAAGGCCUACCAAGCCUGCGAUCUGUAGCUGGUCUGAGAGGACGACCAGCCACACUGGGACUGAGACACGGCCCAGACUCCUACGGGAGGCAGCAGUGGGGAAUUUUGGACAAUGGGCGCAAGCCUGAUCCAGCCAUUCCGCGUGCAGGAUGAAGGCCCUCGGGUUGUAAACUGCUUUUGGACGGAACGAAACGCGCCGGGUUAAUACCUCGGCGUAAUGACGGUACCGUCAGAAUAAGCACCGGCUAACUACGUGCCAGCAGCCGCGGUAAUACGUAGGGUGCAAGCGUUAAUCGGAAUUACUGGGCGUAAAGCGUGCGCAGGCGGUGAUGUAAGACAGAUGUGAAAUCCCCGGGCUCAACCUGGGAACUGCAUUUGUGACUGCAUCGCUGGAGUGCGGCAAAAGGGGAUGGAAUUCCGCGUGUAGCAGUGAAUGCGUAAAUAUGCGGAGGAACCCGAUGGCGAAGCAUCCCUGGCCUGCNUGACGCUCAUGCCGAAGCGUGGGAGCAACAGAUAAUACCUGGUAGU